This 327-nucleotide unclassified non-coding RNA is filed under the name soil metagenome. Its description in RNAcentral is "partial contains 5.8S ribosomal RNA, internal transcribed spacer 2, and large subunit ribosomal RNA". The stretch from base 1 to 120 matches the Rfam family "5.8S ribosomal RNA", at positions 35 to 154 of the family's 154-position model. The record is from RNAcentral.
GAUGAAGAACGCAGCGAAAUGCGAUAAGUAAUGUGAAUUGCAGAAUUCAGUGAAUCAUCGAAUCUUUGAACGCACAUUGCGCCCCUUGGUAUUCCGGGGGGCAUGCCUGUUCGAGCGUCAUUUCAACCCUCAAGCUCAGCUUGGUAUUGAGUCCAUGUCAGUAAUGGCAGGCUCUAAAAUCAGUGGCGGCGCCGCUGGGUCCUGAACGUAGUAAUAUCUCUCGUUACAGGUUCUCGGUGUGCUUCUGCCAAAACCCAAAUUUUCUAUGGUUGACCUCGGAUCAGGUAGGGAUACCCGCUGAACUUAAGCACAUCAAUAAGCGGAGGA